This 840-nucleotide ribosomal RNA is filed under the name Xeroplexa setubalensis. RNAcentral's name for it is "partial 16S ribosomal RNA". The stretch from base 371 to 516 matches the Rfam family "Archaeal large subunit ribosomal RNA", at positions 1889 to 2083 of the family's 2987-position model. Lineage: Eukaryota; Metazoa; Mollusca; Gastropoda; Stylommatophora; Geomitridae. The record is from RNAcentral.
UAAAAUGAAUAUAAUAUCACGAAGGGGGUUGAGCUAAUUAAUUAAGUAUAGUAGAACUGUGACCACUUGUUGCAGCACGUGGCUAGUAUGGUUAAUUAGGAGUGAUAGGCCUCUCAAGACCUCCGAUAUCUUGUUUCCUAGGAAAUAUAUUAAGUAUGUUUUCAACUUAGGAGUGUCUAGGCUUUUAAGGUUUACCAAUUUAAAUUAUAAAGUAAUAACCUACCUAACGGUAAUUAUUUAAAGUAGAUUAAUAUUUAUUAUUGGAAAUUUGUUUUACUUACUAGGAUAUAUAUAACAAUUAAUUAUAUGUUAUUACUGUUGAUAUUAGUAUUAUAUUAAAGUUUCGGGAGGAAUUCGGCAAAUAACUUCUCAACUGUUUAUCAAAAACAUAGCUAGGUGUAUACAUACUUAGUGAUUCCUGCUCAAUGGUUCGCUAAAUAGCCGCAGUACCCUGACUGUGCAAAGGUAGCAUAAUCAUUUGGCUUAUAAUUGAAGUCUGGCAUGAAAGGAUAAAUGGGUAGUAACUGUCUUCGAAAACUUACUAGAACUUACUUAGCAAGUGAAAAUACUUGCAGUUAUAUAAUAGACGAGAAGACCCUAGAAGUUUUGUAUAGAUUAUACUAUGUAUGAUAUUAUUUUGUUGGGGCGACAGAGUAGCAGAUAACCUAUUUUAUUUAAUUAGAACUAUAUGUUGAGUUAAAUUAAACUACUCUAGGGAUAACAGCAUAAUUUAAUAAAGUUUGUGACCUCGAUGUUGGACUAGGGACCUUAAUAUCUAGAAGGUGUUAUGUCAAGCUCUGUUCGAGCUAUUAUCCCUACAUGAUCUGAGUUCAGACCGGC